This 261-nucleotide ribosomal RNA is filed under the name uncultured archaeon. RNAcentral describes it as "partial 16S ribosomal RNA". It matches the Rfam family "Archaeal small subunit ribosomal RNA", at positions 748 to 1009 of the family's 1478-position model. The record is from RNAcentral.
CAGCCGUAAACUAUGCGCGUUAGGUGUAUCGGUGACCACGAGUCACCGAGGUGCCGAAGGGAAACCGUGAAACGUGCCGCCUGGGAAGUACGGUCGCAAGGCUGAAACUUAAAGGAAUUGGCGGGGGAGCACAACAACGGGUGGAGCCUGCGGUUUAAUUGGACUCAACGCCGGACAACUCACCGGGAACGACAGCAAUAUGUAGGCCAGGCUGAAGACCUUGCCUGAAUUGCUGAGAGGAGGUGCAUGGCGUAGACGUCU